This 337-nucleotide unclassified non-coding RNA is filed under the name soil metagenome. RNAcentral describes it as "partial contains 5.8S ribosomal RNA, internal transcribed spacer 2, and large subunit ribosomal RNA". The stretch from base 1 to 120 matches the Rfam family "5.8S ribosomal RNA", at positions 35 to 154 of the family's 154-position model. The record is from RNAcentral.
GAUGAAGAACGUAGCAAACUGCGAUAAGUAAUGUGAAUUGCAGAAUUCAGUGAAUCAUCGAAUCUUUGAACGCACAUUGCGCCCGCCAGUAUUCUGGCGGGCAUGCCUGUUCGAGCGUCAUUUCAACCAUCAAGCCCCCCGGCUUGUGUUGGGGACCUGCGGCUGCCGCAGGCCCUGAAAAGCAGUGGCGGGCUCGCUGUCACACCGAGCGUAGUAGAUCUCAUCUCGCUCAGGGCGUGCUGCGGGUUCCGGCCGUUAAACCACCUUCAUAACCCAAGGUUGACCUCGGAUCAGGUAGGAAGACCCGCUGAACUUAAGCAUAUCAAUAAGCGGAGGA